Molecule: RNA transcript, 2254 nt
Organism: Dicentrarchus labrax (European seabass)
Lineage: Eukaryota; Metazoa; Chordata; Actinopteri; Moronidae
Gene: tedc1
Gene name: tubulin epsilon and delta complex 1
Exons: 8
Source: RefSeq, a predicted model, not a curated record
AGAACUUGAGAGCGGUAGAAAUGUGAUUGAAAAUGUCUUUAUACAAGAUACAACAGUGUCUCUGUUGGACCAAAUGUGAUAGCUGAGUGGGUAGAAAGUUCGCUCAUUUGCGUGUAGUGCUGUGUGGCUGUAAUGCAGCGCAGUAAAGCCGCCGUGAGUGUGGAGGUGAAGCAGGUGAUAGGAGCUCUGUGCAGACUGCUGACGGCCACCGGCCUGGAAAGUGUCCCCGCACCGGAAACCUUCAGGCGGGCUAAAUUUGGUGGUGGACUCGAGGUGACAUCUUUCUGAUCACUGUUGAUUUCCAGGAGGAUCAGUUUUGGCAGCUCCUCACCAACAUCCUUCAGACAGCUGGCAUUGUUUCCUGUGAAGCUGGUGCACAGCUAGGUGGAGCCCCAGAGCACCGGAAGCUGGUAGUUGCAGGCCUCUGGCAGACUGGAUACCAUGCUGACUGGAUGUGUGGCAGGGAGGGAGGAGAAGGGGGCAAGGGACAGAGUUUUUCCAGCAGAGACCUCCUCCUGGCGCUGGCCUGGCUGCUCACCGCUGGAACACUGGAGAAACUGCUGACACAGCGAGUGCAGCGAUUGGACAAAACAUUACUCACACCUCCACCUGUAAUGGUGAACACUCACCCGUCCGGUGAGCUCCAGUUAGACUCGGCAUCUCUGAGGAAACUUCAGUGGCUCAUUGGUUGUUUGAGAUACCAGUGGCGGACCCUGCUGUCCAUGCAAGAAGAGCGAACUCAUCUGCUCCAUGCUGUCUGUAUUGCCCCCCUCCCCCCCCUGCAUCCUCUGAUCAGAGCUCAGCAGUUCUAAGGGAGGACUGUGUUUGUAUGCGGCAGCUCUGUGAGCUCCUAGAAGCAUAUCUGAACUGGAGACAGGUGGAGAAAGUCUUCUGGACCUGGAUGGACAGUGUGGUGGACUGCCAUCUGACAGAUCCUGAUGUUGAGAAGCCUACAUAUGCACCCAAUGGGAGUGUGAGAGUGUGUCACCACGGAAACCGGGGGCUGGAGAAAUUGGAGGAAAUGCUAUUGAGACUGCCCACAGGACAGAAAGGACAGAGUAGAGGCAGAGGGGACGCAGCGGACAGAGGAGAAAGAGGAGAGAGGUUGCAGCAACAAUCGGACACCUCCUCCCUCCCUCCUCUUCUCUCCUCUCUCCCAUUCCCUCCCUCCCUCUCCCAGGUCUACCGAGCCAGGCUCCAGACUGAGAGGCCAGUCAAAAACAGGAGCCACCUACCAGAGGGGCCCCGUGGCAGGGCUGAGGCUCCACACGAGCUCCCAGCGUCUCAGGCUGCGCAGCUGCUUCUUCAGACAGAGGCUUUGCUGCUGGAGCGGAGGGACAGGCAGAGACAGGCCAAUAGGAUGCGGCUGCAGGAGAUGGUUGGCAGGCUGGAUGAACUGGUGUUGAUACCCCCAUAGACUGUUUUUGAUUUCCAGGCAGCGUGGGAUAUGACUGCUAUUUCUGUGAUGGAAGUGUUCUGAUAUUCAGGAAGCUGAUUUAUUCAUUCAGAAAUAACAUCCAUCAAAGGAUGGGUGAGUUUGGCAAAAAUUCACUUUGCAUGUGGACGCAAACCAGAUAUUUUCUAGCAGUUUUUACUUUCACAAGGAAAUACAUUUUUAACAACUUAAGUUUGUUGUAGCUGAGAAUGAUGUUAAUCUUUUAUGUGUCAUUUUUAACAAAGUUACAAAGUGCUACAAAAACACCAGGUGAAUCAGAAAAAACUAUAUACAUAAAGCUAAUAAAUAAUUAUUAAUAUAUGCAAGCUGUCCUCCAUGUUUACAAUUUAUGUAUUAUGUAUGUUUUAGACAGUUAUCUAUUUCACCAACGGUCUUGCAAUACGUGUUAGAGAAUAAAAUGACAUUCCUACUGCCCAGACAUUAGCGCUAAUAUUAUCAAGGUCAGCAGUCAAAGCCAUUGUAGAUGAAUGAGAAAUGGAAUUAAUAUCUAUGUGUCCUCGCGAUGUGAGUGUUUAAGAACUUUAUUGUAUAAGUCAGGAAAAUAAGAGCUGGAGUCAUGUGGUUAGCCCUGAUUAGUGUGAAGACUAGCAGGGGGAAAAGCUAGCCUGGCUCUGAAAAAAUAUGAAUGUAUUGAUAUGAUGUAAAUAUUCUCAUCUCACUCAGGAAAAGUUGCAAACAAGUGUAUCUCCCAGCAUGUUGAACUACUAAUGUACUAAUGUUUUUGUAAAUGUAUUUGACUGCUAUAUGGCUAAAUGUGUCUCCAAAAUGUAUAUAACCAGCAUAAACACUGACAUCCUG